RNAcentral lists this transfer RNA (73 nucleotides) under Fusarium pseudograminearum CS3220. Its description in RNAcentral is "tRNA-Phe". RNAcentral also lists the same sequence under 4 other names. Lineage: Eukaryota; Fungi; Ascomycota; Sordariomycetes; Hypocreales; Nectriaceae. The record is from RNAcentral.
GUAGACGAAGUCUAGAGCUACGCCCUAGACUAUUCCAUCCUUCGGAGGAAUUAGCAAGCUCUAGACUUCGUCU